GGUGCUGUGGCGGAGUGGUUACGCAGCGGUCUGCAAAACCGCGUACACCGGUUCAAUUCCGGUCGGCACCUCCA
This 74-nucleotide transfer RNA is filed under the name Eggerthellaceae bacterium. RNAcentral's name for it is "tRNA-Cys". It matches the Rfam family "tRNA". Rfam says of the family: Transfer RNA (tRNA) molecules are approximately 80 nucleotides in length. Their secondary structure includes four short double-helical elements and three loops (D, anti-codon, and T loops). Lineage: Bacteria; Bacillati; Actinomycetota; Coriobacteriia; Eggerthellales; Eggerthellaceae. RNAcentral also lists the same sequence under 2 other names. The record is from RNAcentral.